Molecule: ribosomal RNA, 510 nt
Filed under: uncultured bacterium
Lineage: Bacteria
Description: bacterial SSU rRNA
Rfam family: Bacterial small subunit ribosomal RNA
Source: RNAcentral
AGGGUUCGAUUCUGGCUCAGGAUGAACGCUGGCGGCGUGCUUAACACAUGCAAGUCGAACGGAGUUUUUAACGGAAGUUUCAGAUGGAAGUUUAGAAACUUAGUGGCGGACGGGUGAGUAACGCGUGGGUAACCUGCCUCAUACAGGGGGAUAACAGUUAGAAAUGACUGCUAACACCGCAUAAUAUAGCGAAACCGCAUGAUUUUUGCUAUCAAAUAUUUAUAGGUAUGAGAUGGGCCCGCGUCUGAUUAGCUAGUUGGUGGGGUAAAAGCCUACCAAGGCGACGAUCAGUAGCCGGCUUGAGAGAGUGACCGGCCACAUUGGGACUGAGACACGGCCCAAACUCCUACGGGAGGCAGCAGUGGGGAAUAUUGGACAAUGGGGGAAACCCUGAUCCAGCGAACCGCCGCGUGAGUGAAGAAGUAUUUCGGUAUGUAAAGCUCUAUCAGCAGGGAAGAUAAUGACAGUACCUGACUAAGAAGCCCCGGCUAACUACGUGCCAGCCGCAGC